GGACCCGCACAAGUAGUGGAGCAUGUGGUUUAAUUCGAAGAUACGCGCAGAACCUUACCAACACUUGACAUGUUUGUCGCGACUUUAAGAGAUUAAAGUCUUCGGUUCGGCCGGACAAAACACAGGUGCUGCAUGGCUGUCGUCAGCUCGUGUCGUGAGAUGUUGGGUUAAGUCCCGCAACGAGCGCAACCCUCACUUUUAGUUGCCACCAUUUAGUUGGGCACUCUGAAAGAACUGCCAGUGAUAAGCUGGAGGAAGGUGGGGAUGACGUCAAGUCCUCAUGGCCCUUACGUGUUGGGCUACACACGUGCUACAAUGGCAUUUACAAUAGGAAGCAAGACGGCGACGUCAAGCAAAUCCUAAAAAGAUGCCUCAGUUCGGAUUGUACUCUGCAACUCGAGUACAUGAAGCUGGAAUUACUAGUAAUCGC
RNAcentral lists this ribosomal RNA (430 nucleotides) under uncultured bacterium. Its description in RNAcentral is "bacterial SSU rRNA". It matches the Rfam family "Bacterial small subunit ribosomal RNA", at positions 917 to 1345 of the family's 1533-position model. The record is from RNAcentral.